AGAACGAACGCUGGCGGCGUGGAUAAGACAUGCAAGUCGAACGGGAUAUCACGAGUAGCAAUAUGAGUGAUGUUCAGUGGCGAACGGGUGCGUAACACGUGGAUACAUUCCGGGAAGCGGGGGGAUAGCCCAGGGAAACUUGGAUUAAUACCGCAUGUGGUCGAAAGACUAAAGACGGGGACCGCAAGGCCUGUCACUUCCCGAUUGGUCCGCGGCCUAUCAGCUAGUUGGCGGGGUAAAGCCCACCAAGGCUACGACGGUAGCUGGUCUUAGAGGACGACCAGCCACACUGGAACUGAGACACGGUCCAGACACCUACGGGUGGCAGCAGUCGAGAAUCUUCACAAUGGGGGCAACCCUAGACUAGGAGCGGAACGCCGCGUGGAGGAGUAAGGUCUUCGGGAUUGGUAAACUCCUUGUCAUUGCGUGAACAGGCUGACG
This 441-nucleotide ribosomal RNA is filed under the name uncultured soil bacterium. RNAcentral's name for it is "bacterial SSU rRNA". It matches the Rfam family "Bacterial small subunit ribosomal RNA", at positions 26 to 458 of the family's 1533-position model. The record is from RNAcentral.